GGGGCCAUAGCUCAGCUGGGAGAGCGCCUGCCUUGCACGCAGGAGGUCGGCGGUUCGAUCCCGCUUGGCUCCACCA
This 76-nucleotide transfer RNA is filed under the name Pseudomonas tolaasii NCPPB 2192. RNAcentral's name for it is "tRNA-Ala". It matches the Rfam family "tRNA". From Rfam's summary of the family: Transfer RNA (tRNA) molecules are approximately 80 nucleotides in length. Their secondary structure includes four short double-helical elements and three loops (D, anti-codon, and T loops). Lineage: Bacteria; Pseudomonadati; Pseudomonadota; Gammaproteobacteria; Pseudomonadales; Pseudomonadaceae. The record is from RNAcentral.